This 254-nucleotide ribosomal RNA is filed under the name uncultured bacterium. Its description in RNAcentral is "partial 16S ribosomal RNA". It matches the Rfam family "Bacterial small subunit ribosomal RNA", at positions 524 to 776 of the family's 1533-position model. The record is from RNAcentral.
UACGUAGGCAGCGAGCGUUGUUCGGAGUUACUGGGCGUAAAGGGUGUGUAGGCGGUUCUUUAAGUUUGGUGGGAAAUCUCCCGGCUCAACCGGGAGGGUGCGCCGAAUACUGAGGGACUUGGAGUGCGGGAGAGGAAAGUGGAAUUCCUGGUGUAGCGGUGAAAUGCGUAGAUAUCAGGAGGAACACCGGUGGUGUAGACGGCUUUCUGGACCGUAACUGACGCUGAGACACGAAAGCGUGGGUAGCAAACAGG